This 253-nucleotide ribosomal RNA is filed under the name uncultured bacterium. Its description in RNAcentral is "partial 16S ribosomal RNA". It matches the Rfam family "Bacterial small subunit ribosomal RNA", at positions 524 to 776 of the family's 1533-position model. The record is from RNAcentral.
UACAGAGGUCCCAAGCGUUGUUCGGAUUCAUUGGGCGUAAAGGGUGCGUAGGCGGCGCGGUAAGUCGGGUGUGAAAUCUCGGGGCUUAACUCCGAAACUGCAUUCGAUACUGCCGUGCUUGAGGACUGGAGAGGAGACUGGAAUUUACGGUGUAGCGGUGAAAUGCGUAGAUAUCGUAAGGAAGACCAGUGGCGAAGGCGGGUCUCUGGAACGGUACUGACGCUGAGACGCGAAAGCGUGGGGAGCGAACAGG